RNAcentral lists this ribosomal RNA (250 nucleotides) under uncultured bacterium. RNAcentral's name for it is "partial 16S ribosomal RNA". It matches the Rfam family "Bacterial small subunit ribosomal RNA", at positions 796 to 1041 of the family's 1533-position model. The record is from RNAcentral.
CUGGCAGUAAACGGUGUACACUUGGUGUGGGGGGAUUCGACCCCUUCCGCGCCGGAGCUAACGCGUUAAGUGUACCGCCUGGGAAGUACGGUCGCAAGAUUAAAACUCAAAGAAAUUGACGGGGACCCGCACAAGCGGUGGAGUAUGUGGCUUAAUUCGAUGCAACGCGAAGAACCUUACCUGGUCUUGACAUGCAUUCUGUCGUUUAUGAAAGUAAGCUAGGUUAGCAAUAACCGGUUUGCACAGGUGC